RNAcentral lists this long non-coding RNA (152 nucleotides) under Cricetulus griseus (Chinese hamster). RNAcentral's name for it is "lncRNA (ENSCGRG00000024422.1)". Lineage: Eukaryota; Metazoa; Chordata; Mammalia; Rodentia; Cricetidae. The record is from RNAcentral.
GCUGGGAAUCCCUGGGUGUCUGUGAGGGCUCUGAUGCCUGUACUGACCUUUAUCCCUAUGUGGAUUCCUGAAGUUGAACAUUUCCUGUAGUUUGGAAGAUAUUUAUGAUUUUGGCAUCUUCAAAUGGAUCUCCCCACAACCCGUGAUAUGCG